RNAcentral lists this ribosomal RNA (780 nucleotides) under uncultured Neocallimastigales. RNAcentral's name for it is "partial large subunit ribosomal RNA". It matches the Rfam family "Eukaryotic large subunit ribosomal RNA", at positions 23 to 634 of the family's 3401-position model. Lineage: Eukaryota; Fungi; Neocallimastigomycota; Neocallimastigomycetes; Neocallimastigales. The record is from RNAcentral.
AGAGAUGUGUGAUGACGCAUAUCAAUAAGCGGAGGAAAAGAAACUAACAAGGAUUCCCCUAGUAACGGCGAGUGAAGCGGGAAGAGCUCAAAUUUGAAAUCUUCAAGGGUUUCCCUUGACGAAUUGUAGUUUAAAGAAGUGUUUUCUGUUAGAGAGGUGGUAAAAGUUCUUUGGAAUAGGACAUCAUAGAGGGUGAGAAUCCCGUAUUUGAUCACUUUCUACUAACGUUGUGAUACACUUUCAAAGAGUCGGAUUGUUUGGGAACGCAGUCCAAAAUGGGUGGUAAAUUUCAUCUAAAGCUAAAUAUUGGCGAGAGACCGAUAGCGAACAAGUACCGUGAGGGAAAGAUGAAAAGAACUUUGAAAAGAGAGUUAAACAGUACGUGAAAUUGUCAAAAGGGAAGCGUUUGACACCAGUGUUGUUUUUCUCGAAAAUCAAUUAUGAAUGGUUUGAUUUUUAGAGUUUCAUGACCUUCAUACGCUUGCUCCUAUUCUUUAUGUACUUUCGUAAUGCACUUUUCGGUUAACAAGUCAACAUCAAUUUCUUUUGUUGUAAAAGGUAAUGAGGAAGGUGGCUUUACUUUCGGGUAAAGUGUUUAUAGCCUUUUACCUCUGCAAUCGGAGAGAUUGAGGUCUGCAGCGUAGAUCCUUCGGGGUUAGAUACAUUUUGUGCUAAGUUAUAGCUUUUCAUAGACAACUUGUUGACUAUGUUAAGUCUUGUAGCUUACUCGCAGUAUGCUAUUUUACCUACGCUUAGGAUGUUGAGUCGUAGAGCACGCAG